This is a long non-coding RNA of Paramormyrops kingsleyae, 4282 nucleotides long. RefSeq lists it as uncharacterized. The record is from RefSeq and is a predicted model, not a curated record. Lineage: Eukaryota; Metazoa; Chordata; Actinopteri; Osteoglossiformes; Mormyridae.
CAGGCAACGCUUCGCUGAACUCGCCGUGCCCCGACCCGGAGACGUCACAUCCCAUUACGGAGACCGAAUCGGGGGUCUGUCUGCCGUCGUUUUAUAUCGUGAUGCUACGGCUGUCGUCGGGCUGUCGGCUGCCUCUACUGUGACAUCUCCUCCGUCUCCGUCGUCUGUGACGUCAUCCGAGUCGAGCGAACGCGGACGCGAGCUUGAGGGGUGAUCGCAGGGUCAGAAUUUCACUCUGACAGGCUAUUCGUCAUCCAGGGGGGCAGGCGAGGCAAAAAUUAACUCACCGUUUAAACAGAGGAGUGUUGCAUGCACAUUUAAUGCCUUAAAAAGGGGAAAGCAGCCAUGACGAUAUGCAGUUUGUACCAGAAACUCCAGCGCAGACCAGGUGGACCAGAGCAAGGCCUAAUUACCGGCUUAAAUCGGAGAGAUUACGGUCCGCUGCCCCUUCAGCCGAGUCCAAUUGCAAACAGAACUAUGACCAUAAAACCUUCACUCUACAUCUAAUUUAGCAAUAAGCCUACAGAAGAUUGUGUCCUCUUUGCUCUGCAGAGGUCUGCAGCAAUGAGGAAUGGCCAUCGGCUGGCCCUACAGCCAUUAUUCACUGCAUACCGGCCAAGCUCAGCUAUAAUGUCCGUUCUGCUCUUAUAGACCCGGACAAUACUGGACAGCAGGUGGUAACAUAUGCAGUCACGGUAUACGGCAGUGUGGGUCUGACAAUAACAUUACCCUUUUUUUCUGGUGAUAGCCACAACCUUAACUAUCCUGAAAUCUGUCACGAUACGAUACAACUGUAUGACACUGUAGUGUUUUCUUCUAUAAACAGAACCGUCCACAUCUGUCCACCUUCUAGCUCCUCAUCCCGUGUCAGCUGUUGGGGUGGGGAACUGGAGCAGGGAACAAGACCAAUACGCCUUGGAUAACAUGCCGGUUAUAAACAGCUCUUAGCCGGUUUCAGAGCCACUGUAAGAGUCCUUGGGAGGCUCAACACAACAGCCUCAGUGACUACUGGGAAACCAGGCUCUCUGACCUGCUUUGAACACAAACAUCACCUGAGGAUGGCAGGACCAGGGCAGGUCAUUGACACAGUUUAUACAGCUCACUGGAGCCUGGGACAGGCACCAGGCUCCCCAGGACCCUGACCAGGAGAAGCGGAUGGAUGGAUGGUUAAAUCUCCACCACGAUUUUGUUUCAGUCAACCAGUUGAGUAUAAAGAGUCACAGUGAUAGAGUACUCAACACUUUCUGGACCUGAACUAUCCAUUUCUGGUUUUGGGUGAUCUUUUGCACGGCAUGUAAUUGGUCUGCAAACCUACGGUAAGUCAACCACAGCCACAGGUAACACAGUGUAACCCAGACUGCACAGAAUUCCUAUGUAGGGUCAGCUGGACAGAUGAAGAAGAGAACAAGACAUUAGAGAAGGUGAGAGUAAGACUCUCCCCUAUAUGUGUGGAAAGCAUGUGCGUUUGUUCAUGUUAUGUGUUUCUUUGUGUUAUGGGACUUUUUAGUUAGCCUUUAUAUACUCUGUUGAGUUUGCCUUUGGUGAAGUCUUAACCUGACCAAGGGGAGGUUCUUAUUGGCAGACCUUCUCCAUGAAGAUAUACACGACCUAGUGACUUCUACCUGGGUCCCCUCGCAGUUUACUGGCUGCAGUCACGUUCAGAUUCCGCGACUGCACCUGUGGGCUCUCUCGACCCAUUCGUUAAGGCGGAUAUUCGAGUCAAACGACACGGCGCCAAACGUGAAGCGCGGCACACCCGGAUGAGCUGGCAACGUCCUGGCAUCCGACAGGGUCACGUUCAAUGCAUGUCAGAGAUGUCUCAGCGUUCAUGGGAACAUAAUCCUGUCCCGCUGCGGAAGUCACAGGUACCUAGCAACCAUGGAAUGCAAAACAGCAGCAACUUUCAGAAUUAUGAAAUGCCAGAAUCUAAACUAAAACUAAAUUAAGAUGGAAUGGAAAGGCAGCUGAAGUACGCUACGGUGAGAAGGCAUAUUAUGCGGCAGUGUAUUGUAAUUAAGCUCAGCUGAUCCACCUUUCCGUCAUUGUAAACUAUUCGUUUUUCCACUGCAGUCAGCCUGAUAGGCUCCCAUGCCAAGCCGUGUUGACUUUUAAAAUACUUUACAUGGUGUGGUCAGCUAGUGGCCGAGAUAUGGUGACAAUCCCCCUGGCUGUUUUAUAAAUAAACCCAACGAAGUGUGUGUGAGCUGAUGCCACUUUACUUCUAACCCAAGUUUCCAGGCAGUCUUCAGUAAGCAUUGCUGUCUUUGGGUGGAGAAUGUGAGAAACGGCCGACUAGCACGGCUAGGCUGUUAAUCCCUCAUUCAUAUACGAUAUACUGGGAAACUGGGAGAAGAAUCUAACCAGUAGCUAAAGAAAGCCCAUAAAUUCCCCUGAGGACCUGGUUCAGUUAAGUCUGCUUGGUUGUUUAGAGAUUAUUUACAGGAAAGCUUUCUUAGAAUUGACCGUAGGCACCAAUGGGAUCGGAAGAUGGGUGGAUCUUCAUGUGGUCUUAUGCUGAAUAUCCAAGGUAUGGUUAGGUUACUGGAGUAACUUUUGCUGGCAAGUGUUUUUCCUGCUUAGAACACUGCCCAUAUGAGAAUGAAUACAGGACCCGGGGUUUUGUGUAGUGUGCAUCAUGUAGUGUGCAUCAUGUAGUGUGCAUCAUGUGGAAACCAUCUGUACUGUAGGUUAGAUGAGUCUGCACUUAUCUGGUGUCAUUUCUGUGGAUGAGAUAAGACACUGACUAUACUACCAAGCCCAGUUCAGCACUGCAACACUGCAAAAGUCUAUUACAAGUCUAUCAGAAACUGUGGUAAAUGAUACAGUGUGGUAUGACAUAAAGCCCUAAACCUUUCUGAAAUUUGAACCUUUUGGCAGCUGAAUCACAAAGGGGAGAAAAUGGGAUUUAGAAAUAUUGUGAUUGAUGUAUUCUGAAUGAAAGUUUCUUUUACUUUGUUUAAGAAAUAGAUCAGAAGAAUGUGACUUCAUUUUCCUUAUAUAUUCUGGCAGAGCUGAUGAGAAACCUUUGAAAGGCUUGGAUGGACCUAAUUAAACAUGAAAAUGAGCAAUCGGUCUUGUUCAUGGACUCAGGGUAGGAGAUGACUCUGAGCAGCCUCCACAACCCCUAACUGGAGAGGCCUGGCUCUCUUCCCUGCCCCCUAGUACACUGUAGAGGAGAUGAAAGGUCACAGCUGGACUGAUCUCAGCUCAGUGAGGAAUGCUGGAGUAUUACUAAUUAACCGCACCUGCGCUCCCAUGAAGGUAGGAAACAAUCGAUACGUUCAGCACGGAGCAGGUGACCCACCCAGGCUUAACAUGGACCGUAAUCGGAGGCGGUCAAUCUAAGUUUUCCAUUGAUGCGCUUUGACUUCUACUCUAAGGUGGAACCUCGUCAUUUUAAUCUUUUUUAAAAAAAAAAAAAAAAAAAACACACGUGAGCCCUUGAUUACUGAAUAAUCUCACAUAUACAAAUAAAAUCAUUCAAACACACAAUAUUUCCACUUCGCAUCAACAGGAAAACUGAAAAGAGUUAAUCCCUCAUCCUACUCCAAGGAAACGAUUUAGCACAAAAUCUAUUCACGCAAAGGAGUCUAAGAAAUCAGACACCCCAUUACGCAACCUAACACUCAGAAACUGGCCCGAAAAGCAGCGCUACUUUCCUCAUUCUACCUUUUCAAAGUGGCGGCUUCAUUCUGCGUUAGACGCUGCGGAAACCGCAUUUUAAGUCGGUGCGGGAACAAUAGUGACAGUGACAUCUCCAAUUGCCAUGAAACCGAUGCUGCUCUUCACCAGCGCAGGACCUGGACGCUUUUCAGAAGUAACACAUAAGUACAGAUGCUGCUCUCCCUGCCGCUGCCAGGCAUGUAUCUGACGAGUAAUCUUACAUUUUAAAUUAAAUCUUGUAGUCCAUUCUUUUCUGGUACGAACGGAUACUACCAACUGGUAGCAUUAACUCUUAACAUUCCACGUGGCGACAAUAAUUUGUAGCAAAAAAAAAAACUAAUGUACGGUUGUAGCCUACAUUUAUAUUCGAACAGCAACAUAAUACUAAUUAAAAUAAUAAUAAUAAUAUUGAACAAUAAUAACGCAGGUGUAUAUAGUCCGCGCUCUGUGUGUGAAAAGUCCGAUCAUUUUAAUUUAUUCAGGCGGGGAUGUAAGAAGUUAAAACAGAGAAACGAGUCCUACUAUUUGAAAUCAAUCAAUUCAAUCGCUUAUGACUUUCCAACUAAUCUGCUUAUGAAAGGUGGACCAGAAACGACAGCAGUCAGAAGAAAAGCAAACA